This 74-nucleotide transfer RNA is filed under the name Arothron firmamentum (starry toado). RNAcentral describes it as "tRNA-Leu". It matches the Rfam family "tRNA". Rfam says of the family: Transfer RNA (tRNA) molecules are approximately 80 nucleotides in length. Their secondary structure includes four short double-helical elements and three loops (D, anti-codon, and T loops). RNAcentral also lists the same sequence under 6 other names. The record is from RNAcentral. Lineage: Eukaryota; Metazoa; Chordata; Actinopteri; Tetraodontiformes; Tetraodontidae.
GUUAGGGUGGCAGAGCCCGGCAAAUGCAAAAGACCUAAGCCCUUUGAACAGAGGUUCAACUCCUCUCCCUAACU